CCUACGGGAGGCAGCAGUGGGGGAUAUUGCACAAUGGGGGGAACCCUGAUGCAGCGACGCCGCGUGGGUGAAGGAGCGUUUCGGCGCGUAAAGCCCUAUCGGCAGGGAAGAAGAUGACGGUACCUGGCCAAGCAGCCCCGGCUAAAUACGUGCCAGCAGCCGCGGUAAUACGUAGGGGGCACGCGUGAUCCGGAUUUACUGGGUGUAAGGGGGGCGCAGACGGCAAUGCAAGCCAGUAGUGAAAGCCCGGGGCGCAACCCCGGGACUGCUCUUGGAACUGCAUGGCUGGAGUACAGGAGGGGCAGGCGGAAUUCCUAGUGUAGCGGUGAAAUGCGUAGAUAUUAGGAGGAACACCGGUGGCGAAGGCGGCCGGCUGGACUGUGACUGACGUUGAGGCCCGAAGGCGUGGGGAGCAAACAGGAUUAGAUACCCUUGUAGUC
RNAcentral lists this ribosomal RNA (440 nucleotides) under uncultured bacterium. Its description in RNAcentral is "partial 16S ribosomal RNA". It matches the Rfam family "Bacterial small subunit ribosomal RNA", at positions 338 to 795 of the family's 1533-position model. The record is from RNAcentral.